Molecule: ribosomal RNA, 486 nt
Filed under: uncultured bacterium
Lineage: Bacteria
Description: partial 16S ribosomal RNA
Rfam family: Bacterial small subunit ribosomal RNA
Source: RNAcentral
AUUGAACGCUGGCGGCAUGCCUUACACAUGCAAGUCGAACGGCAGCACAGUAGCUGCUUCCUCGUAGCGGUGGCCGGUGGGGUACGGGUUAGAACGGCACCUGACCCUAAUUUGUCGAUAGGGCGAAGGUAGGCAGACUAAUACUACAAACGAAUAACAGCUGAAGGUGAGAGCCGUUCGUCUCCGGAGCUAGAGGGUUUGCAGAAGGCGGAUUAGCUAGUUGGUGGGGUAAAGGCCCACCAAGGCGACGAUCAGUAGCUGGUCUGAGAGGACGAUCAGCCACACUGGAACUGAGACACGGUCCAGACUCCUACGGGAGGCAGCAGUGGGGAAUAUUGGACAAUGGGCGAAAGCCUGAUCCAGCCAUGCCGCGUGUGUGAAGAAGGCCUUCGGGUUGUAAAGCCCUUUUGUUGGGAAAGAAAAGCAGCACGUUAAUACCCUGCGGGUAUGACGGUACCGAAAGAAUAAGCACCGGCUAACUACGUG